UACAGAGACCUCAAGCGUUAUCCGGAAUCAUUGGGCGUAAAGCGUACCGAUAGGUGGUUUUACAAGUCAGAAGUGAAAUCUCUCAGCUUAACUGGGAGACUGUCUUUUGAAACUGUAAAACUAGAGGGGCAAAGAGGAAGCUGGAACGAACGGUGUAGUAGUGAAAUGCGUUGAUAUCGUUCGGAACACCAAUAGCGUAGGCAAGCUUCUGGGUGCCACCUGACACUGCUAGGACGAAAGCGUGGGGAGCGAAUGGG
RNAcentral lists this ribosomal RNA (257 nucleotides) under uncultured bacterium. RNAcentral's name for it is "partial 16S ribosomal RNA". It matches the Rfam family "Bacterial small subunit ribosomal RNA", at positions 524 to 776 of the family's 1533-position model. The record is from RNAcentral.